UCUUCUCGGCGGACUCCGGGGCCGUCCAARUUGCUUGGAACAGCACGUCAUAGAGGGUGACAACCCCGUCUGUGGCGGAACCGGGCCGCUCACGAUGUGCUUUCGACGAGUCGGGUUGUUUGGGAAUGCAGCCCAAAAUGGGUGGUAAACUCCAUCUAAGGCUAAAUAUUGGCACGAGACCGAUAGCGAACAAGUACCGUGAGGGAAAGGUGAAAAGCACUUUGAAAAGAGAGUUAAAAAGUACGUGAAACCGUUAAAAGGGAAACGAACGGGGUUAGCAAUGCGCUCUCUGCGAGAUUCAGCCGGGCCGGCGCGCCGGGCGGGCGGUCUGCGGAUCCCUUGAGGACCGCGGCCGUUCGCCGUCGGCGCUCGGACCGUCGCACUUCUCGCGAGCGCGCGCCAACGUCGGUUGGGACUGGGUCUCUCGAAAGGCGCCGGUAAGGUGGACCCGCUCUUCGGAGGGGGUUGUUAUAGACCGGCGUCGAACGGCCCGGGCCCGACCGAGGAGCCGCGGCGCAUGCCUUUCUUCGGUUUGGCUACGGUCCCGUCGUUCCGGUCGGCCGUCCGACUGCGGUGGACUGCGUGCAGUGCACCGCGACCGCGGCCGGUCGCUUCGGCGGUGAUGCGGUACCAUGCGCCCAGGACGUUGGCGGUCAGAUGGCCUCGUCCGACCCGUCUUGAAACACGGACCAAGGAGUCUAACAUGUGCGCGAGUCUUCGAGUGA
Molecule: ribosomal RNA, 725 nt
Filed under: Halcampa duodecimcirrata
Lineage: Eukaryota; Metazoa; Cnidaria; Anthozoa; Actiniaria; Halcampidae
Description: eukaryotic LSU rRNA
Rfam family: Eukaryotic large subunit ribosomal RNA
Source: RNAcentral